This 1228-nucleotide unclassified non-coding RNA is filed under the name Cimex lectularius (bed bug). RNAcentral describes it as "uncharacterized LOC106668631, transcript variant X1". The record is from RNAcentral. Lineage: Eukaryota; Metazoa; Arthropoda; Insecta; Hemiptera; Cimicidae.
UGAAAAUAUGAAUCUCGUUAUCAAUCGGGCGGGAAAAGUUCCGUCUGUUGAGUUCCAUCUGUGUUUGACUUGUUUUAAGUCAAAAAGGUAGUUUUGAGUUUUGCCAUGGAAAUGGAAGUGGAUGGAACGAUCAACACAGAAAGGAGCCUGAGUCUCAUUGGAUCACGGCAGGUCUCCGUCACCGUGCAGGACAUCGAGGCGACUGCCCUUCUCUUAAGAGUGAUCAAAGGCAGAAUAUUGUUUCUCCUUUCGAAAAAUAACACUUCGAAUAGCACACAUAAUGAUUGGUCAUCGGUGGACCACGAUUCUAACGACGAAGUAUCAAUUUAUUUGCUUAAAGUCGCCUUGAAAUACAUGAAACGAUGUGUUGACACUCAUCCAGCCCUGUCGAAUUUUCUAUGGCAGAAGAUUGUCCUUAACGAAUCCGACAAAGCAAUUGUCCACAAACAAAAAUCCAUUUCAAAAGACUUUUUGUUGGAACAGGCGGUAAAAGAAGUCGUGAACCUUGCGGUCCACAUUUAUGAGCUUAUGAACAAAAAGCUUAAACAGUCCAAGAAGUACAUGGAAGUUGUGCACAUGAGCUGGCAAGUACAGUCUAACGUGAACCAGGUUAUCCCAGAUUCUGAGGAUGAAGAGAGUGAUGUUAGCGAGAAAAUACGGUUUCAGAAAUCGAAAGGAAAUGCUUUAAGGCGAGUAAAACGAUUGGGGGAAAUCAUACAGAGGCUUCUUGUGAUUUAUCCUGUUGACUAUAAGAAGAACGAACCAAUGAGAACAAUUUUGAAACGUCUUGUCAUUGUUGAUUCAAUGUAAUAGGAAUUUUCUUAAGAUGUCUGUUUUAUAUUCUAUUUCUUCUUAAAAAAAUGUACAUACAUCAUGUGAAAAAUUGAAACUAUGACUUCUUGUGGCAAUAAUCGCAUUUAUGUAAUUUACAAAAUAAAUUACCAGCACGCCAUGAAAAUCGCCUACCUCUGUUCUGGAAGUUUAGGGUCAUAUCUUGGUCUUAUUUGUCCCACCGUCAAAAUUAGAUUCUAGGAGAUGAUAAAGGUAGGCCAUUUCAGCCCCCAAUUGGUUUUUAAGUCUAAAUCUAUUCUCACUUUUUAAUGAAUUCUUUCUUCUUUUACCAUUUAUUCAAGUAGAGGGUGGUUCUCGAUAUUUGCUGCAUCACUCUAGUCUAAUUGAGGGUCUGUGUUAGUCAAUAUUCCACAAUCAGCCCAUUCACACUAAUAAA